Molecule: unclassified non-coding RNA, 373 nt
Filed under: soil metagenome
Description: partial contains 5.8S ribosomal RNA, internal transcribed spacer 2, and large subunit ribosomal RNA
Rfam family: 5.8S ribosomal RNA (bases 1-120)
Source: RNAcentral
GAUGAAGAACGUAGCGAAAUGCGAUAAGUAAUGUGAAUUGCAGAAUUCAGUGAAUCAUCGAAUCUUUGAACGCACAUUGCGCCCGCCAGUAUUCUGGCGGGCAUGCCUGUUCGAGCGUCAUUACAACCCUCAAGCCCCCCGGCUUGGUGUUGGGGACCGGCCACCGGUGCCCUGCUGCUUCCGCGGCAGGCGCACCCGGCCGCCCCCGAAAUGAAUUGGCGGCCCCGUCGCGGCCUCCCUCUGCGUAGUGGCACACAUCUCGCAGCUGGAGCGCGGCGCGGCCACUGCCGUAAAACGCACCAACUUUUUUUACAGUUGACCUCGAAUCAGGUAGGAAUACCCGCUGAACUUAAGCAUAUCAAUAAGCGGAGGA